RNAcentral lists this ribosomal RNA (424 nucleotides) under uncultured bacterium. RNAcentral describes it as "bacterial SSU rRNA". It matches the Rfam family "Bacterial small subunit ribosomal RNA", at positions 359 to 773 of the family's 1533-position model. The record is from RNAcentral.
GAAUCUUGCGCAAUGGCCGAAAGGCUGACGCAGCGACGCCGCGUGCGGGAGGACGCUCUUCGGGGUGUAAACCGCUGUCAGAGGGGAAGAAGGCCUGGGGGAGACAAUGCCUUCAGGAUGACGGUACCCUCAGAGGAAGCACCGGCUAACUCAGUGCCAGCAGCCGCGGUAAUACGGAGGGUGCGAGCGUUGUUCGGAAUUAUUGGGCGUAAAGCGCGCGUAGGCGGCCGUUUAAGUCUCGCUGUGAAAUCGGGGGGCUCAACCCUCACGACUGCAGGGGAUACAGGGCGGCUGGAGAUAGGUAGAGGCGAGCGGAAUUCCGGGUGUAGCGGUGGAAUGCGUAGAGAGCCGGAAGAACACCAGAGGCGAAGGCGGCUCGCUGGACCUCAUCUGACGCUGAGGUGCGAAAGCGUGGGGAGCGAAC